RNAcentral lists this ribosomal RNA (772 nucleotides) under uncultured bacterium. RNAcentral's name for it is "bacterial SSU rRNA". It matches the Rfam family "Bacterial small subunit ribosomal RNA", at positions 1 to 786 of the family's 1533-position model. The record is from RNAcentral.
GCCCUUGAGUUUGAUCCUGGCUCAGGAUGAACGUUGGCGGUGUGCCUAAUACAUGCAAGUCGAACGGUGACGAUUUUGUAGUAAUACGAAUGAAAUCAUAGUGGCGAACGGGUGAGUAACGCGUUGGUGAUCUGCCUCGAAGUGUGGAAUAACGCUCCGAAAGGAGCGCUAAUACCGCAUGUGCUCUCAUUGUUUAGAAAUUUGAGAGGAAAGGAUUUAUUCGCUUCGAGAGGAGCCUGCGUCCCAUCAGCUAGUUGGUAGGGUAACGGCCUACCAAGGCAAUGACGGGUAGGGGACCUGAGAGGGUGGCCCCCCACAAUGGAACUGAAACGCGGUCCAUACACCUACGGGUGGCAGCAGUAGGGAAUAUUAGAAAUGGACGAAAGUCUGAUCUAGCGACACCGCGUGUGCGAAGAAGGCCUUCGGGUUGUAAAGCACUUUUUGGAAGGAAUAGGAAGGAAGGUACUUCCAGAAUAAGUCUCGGCUAACUACGUGCCAGCAGCCGCGGUAACACGUAGGAGGCGAACGUUACCCGGAUUUACUGGGCGUAAAGCGCGUGUAGGUGGUUUUGUAAGUAGGGCGUGAAAGCUCCUGGCUCAACUAGGAGAGGCCGUUCUAAACUGCAGAGCUAGAGGAUGGUAGAGGGAGGUGGAAUUCCAGGUGUAGCGGUGGGAUGCGCAGAUAUCUGGAGGAACACCAGUGGCGAAGGCGGCCUCCUGGACCAUUCCUGACACUCAGACGCGAAAGCUAGGGUAGCAACGGGAUAGAGACC